This 718-nucleotide ribosomal RNA is filed under the name Pseudomonas mohnii. RNAcentral's name for it is "bacterial SSU rRNA". It matches the Rfam family "Bacterial small subunit ribosomal RNA", at positions 22 to 735 of the family's 1533-position model. Lineage: Bacteria; Pseudomonadati; Pseudomonadota; Gammaproteobacteria; Pseudomonadales; Pseudomonadaceae. The record is from RNAcentral.
GCUCAGAUUGAACGCUGGCGGCAGGCCUAACACAUGCAAGUCGAGCGGAUGAAGAGAGCUUGCUCUCUGAUUCAGCGGCGGACGGGUGAGUAAUGCCUAGGAAUCUGCCUGGUAGUGGGGGACAACGUCUCGAAAGGGACGCUAAUACCGCAUACGUCCUACGGGAGAAAGCAGGGGACCUUCGGGCCUUGCGCUAUCAGAUGAGCCUAGGUCGGAUUAGCUAGUUGGUGAGGUAAUGGCUCACCAAGGCGACGAUCCGUAACUGGUCUGAGAGGAUGAUCAGUCACACUGGAACUGAGACACGGUCCAGACUCCUACGGGAGGCAGCAGUGGGGAAUAUUGGACAAUGGGCGAAAGCCUGAUCCAGCCAUGCCGCGUGUGUGAAGAAGGUCUUCGGAUUGUAAAGCACUUUAAGUUGGGAGGAAGGGCUGUAGAUUAAUACUCUGCAAUUUUGACGUUACCGACAGAAUAAGCACCGGCUAACUCUGUGCCAGCAGCCGCGGUAAUACAGAGGGUGCAAGCGUUAAUCGGAAUUACUGGGCGUAAAGCGCGCGUAGGUGGUUUGUUAAGUUGGAUGUGAAAGCCCCGGGCUCAACCUGGGAACUGCAUUCAAAACUGACAAGCUAGAGUAUGGUAGAGGGUGGUGGAAUUUCCUGUGUAGCGGUGAAAUGCGUAGAUAUAGGAAGGAACACCAGUGGCGAAGGCGACCANNCNGGAC